AUAAUUACAUUGCUGCUACUUCUAUGUUGAAGCAUGCUUUUUAAACACUGUAGUUAUUGAAUAUUUACAAUAUGUAUCAUUUAAACUUCAUGUAAAAGCACAAGUAUGACUGUCUGACUUCAAUACAAACACCAUACUUGGAUUUCCCCCCAAAAUGAAAUGUAAAAUACUGCUAAUGCAGCAGCUGCAUCUCUGUGUUCAUAAAAUUCCACAAAGCAAUAUGGGUCAUUGCUUGUAUGCUGCAAAACAGAAAAUCCAACAGAAGAGUUGACCCUUCUGCUAUCGGGUUGCUGAGAAGAAAAUCCAGGAAAAAACAUUACUGAUAGCUGGGAAUAAUUAAGUGGUUGGAAGAUGGAAUUCAUUCAUUAGAUUGAGCUUCAGGUACUCACAGAGUCCGGGGCUGCCCGUCGUCUUCCAUCAUGG
This 423-nucleotide long non-coding RNA is filed under the name Homo sapiens (human). Its description in RNAcentral is "HSALNT0168981". Lineage: Eukaryota; Metazoa; Chordata; Mammalia; Primates; Hominidae. The record is from RNAcentral.